Molecule: long non-coding RNA, 1955 nt
Filed under: Paramuricea clavata
Lineage: Eukaryota; Metazoa; Cnidaria; Anthozoa; Malacalcyonacea; Plexauridae
Rfam family: tRNA (bases 1556-1628)
Source: RNAcentral
UUUCCCCCAUCAAAUCUCUACUCUAUACUUCAUACUCCUGUAGGUAUUGUUGUAUUCUAUUGAGUAUGGCUACUGCAGUAAGCUUACCUGCAGCAACUCCAUCAACCGUCAUCACAGACGAUCAACGAAGAUGGGUAGUCAUUGGAAUUUGUUUAAACAAACUUCUUACUCCUGUAUUGAGGAAUGUCCUUGGAAAAGAAGUUCUAGUUUGGUAUAACAGUCUUUGCUUAUCGCCCAACCAAAUUAACAAACAGACUUACAAAAAACAUGCAACUAAAUUACCGCCUUCCAAACUAAAGCUGAAUUAUGGAAAUAUCAACAAGAAUUAUGACAACCACAAGCUAAUAUAUAAUGCUUAUGAUUAUAACGUCCAAAAUCCGGAAUCCCUCGCCAAGUUAUUUGUCCAACCUUUCAUGGCAAAAUUCAGUGGAUUUGAUCAAACCAUGGACCUGUCUGGGGCACUAACAGUGAUGGGUGAAGCUGAUCCAUUUCACACUUCUGGAGCUGCUCUGCUGGCAAAUACCGUUCGUAAAGUUGUUAGGAAUGCCUGGGCUCAUUGUGAUUUUUCACACUGGAAUGAUGUAAAUUAUCGCUCCUGCAUACAACAUAUCGAGUCACUUGUGAGGAAACUGAAUUUACCUAGUGCUGAUGAAAACGAUUUUGUGAAUGAACUAGACAAUUGGAAAGAUAAAGGUAAAGUUACUUUUGGAAUAUUUUGUUUCUAGUUAAUAUAUCUUCAGUGCUGGAAACUCUCGAAAAUGACAACACCGCUUGCACAAGCGGCACUUCCAACACAAUAUAUUCUUUCAAGCUGCCGAAAGUGUACCCUGAGAGCGGAGCCUGAUUUAUUCCUCUCGUGUAGAAAAUAAGGCUCUGUCGUUUUUGUGUUUUUGUUAUUCCAAAAUUCUGGACGAAGUAAACCGGUAAUAAACGUCUAGUUCUAAACGGUGUUAAAUGCGCGCGCCUUCGUUUUGCAUGUAAACCGAUGACUGCAAUAUAUAUAUAUAUAUAUAUAAGUUUUCAAUCUUUAUUCUAGAUGAAAAAUUAAUUAUCUUUCUCCUUAUCCAUUGAUAUUUGACUUUUCAAAAUAACCAACCGUUAGGAUCACUUAGGUGGCAACACCAAUAUUCCAACCUGCCCAAAUUAUAAAAAAUUGUGUCUAAAGUAUUCUACAAUUCAUAUUUUACGCAGUCAGAUUAAAAACGAUGGCGCUAUAAUGUUGAGUUGUUCCUAAUUUGGUAUACAACUUCGUUUACAGUGCUAAAUGCAUGCAAAUCCCUCAAAAGACAAGGAAAGGGGCAUUUAAGCCCCCCCCCCCUCCGUAAUAAUUUUUCUGAUACUGAACGCAAAAAAAAUAUAUAAAAAUCAUACAUAUACACAUACAUAUAUUACACACACAUACACACAUACACACACACUCAGAGUAACAUCAAAAACAUUAUAUCCACCUGAGUACAUAACAUCAAAACACACACAAAAAUAUUGUGAUCAUAUAACACAUUGGCAUCGAAGGUACUAGACUUAGUUCCGAAAUACCUCACACUCGAACAGACUUGGUCUCGUAGCUCAGUUAGCAGAUCAUUGGACUAGUAUCCCAAAGGUCGCGGGUUUGAUUCCCACCGUGGUUGGACUAGUAUCCCAAAUUACUGAUACCAUUUUUACAUUCGUUUCGAAGGUGUGCAGUUAUGCUGUGGUCAGCCAGUGGACGCAGAUCUGCUUAAGCUCAUCACAACUGAAGUUUCUCAACUUUACGAUUCUUUUCAAAUAUUGCGAGAUGAGAGCCAGGAUGCACAGGUAGUGUAUAAGAUAUAUAGUUAAUAAGAUAUGAACAUCCUACUACAGAUCAGUUCCGCUUUAUAUAUGGACGAUUAUAAUAAUGGUUUUGGCUUUGUUGGCCGAUGAGGGGCUCAAUUUCAGUAUUAUGGUAUUUAAAUUAUUUAAUCUGAAGUUAUGUA